AUUGAACGCUGGCGGCAGGCCUAACACAUGCAAGUCGAGCGGAUGAAGGGAGCUUGCUCCUGGAUUCAGCGGCGGACGGGUGAGUAAUGCCUAGGAAUCUGCCUGGUAGUGGGGGAUAACGUCCGGAAACGGGCGCUAAUACCGCAUACGUCCUGAGGGAGAAAGUGGGGGAUCUUCGGACCUCACGCUAUCAGAUGAGCCUAGGUCGGAUUAGCUAGUUGGUGGGGUAAAGGCCUACCAAGGCGACGAUCCGUAACUGGUCUGAGAGGAUGAUCAGUCACACUGGAACUGAGACACGGUCCAGACUCCUACGGGAGGCAGCAGUGGGGAAUAUUGGACAAUGGGCGAAAGCCUGAUCCAGCCCUGCCGCGUGUGUGAAGAAGGUCUUCGGAUUGUAAAGCACUUUCAGUUGGGAGGAAGGGCAGUAAGUUAAUACCUUGCUGUUUUGACGUUACCAACAGGAUACGCACCGGCUAACUUCGUG
RNAcentral lists this ribosomal RNA (484 nucleotides) under uncultured bacterium. RNAcentral describes it as "partial 16S ribosomal RNA". It matches the Rfam family "Bacterial small subunit ribosomal RNA", at positions 30 to 507 of the family's 1533-position model. The record is from RNAcentral.